Molecule: long non-coding RNA, 444 nt
Filed under: Helianthus annuus (common sunflower)
Lineage: Eukaryota; Viridiplantae; Streptophyta; Magnoliopsida; Asterales; Asteraceae
Source: RNAcentral
CCCGUCCCAAUUCAUCCCUAUUUUUGUAUAAUUUAUAGCCAAAUCGAAUCUCCAUUGGAGAGGGUAGUAUUAUAGAAAUCAGUUAAUCAAAAUUCGUCCAUUAUAAAUGACAUCUCCAUCUCUAAAACGCAAAAACCCUCUCUCAAAACCUACAUGCAUCCUCAACAAUUCGUGAAUUCAAGCAAGCAAGGACAAUUCUAGGGCUUGUAACUUCAAGUCUUGAUUUUUCUCACAGUUCUUAAACAAAUCAGUGUUCUUGAACAUUAAAAUUUUGGGGCUUUUGAUUUUAAUUGAUGAUUUUGAUAUCAAGUGACAGGUUGAGAACGAAGACACAUAGGACGUGCCUUAGUGAAAUGAACCGGAUAUUUAUUUUAUGUUUUACAUAUGGAGUACUAUUUGUAUUACUUGGAAUUCAUUUCGAUAUGUGACAAAAUAUUUAUACAU